AGUGAACGCUGGCGGUAGGCCUAACACAUGCAAGUCGAACGGCAGCACAGUAAGAGCUUGCUCUUACGGGUGGCGAGUGGCGGACGGGUGAGGAAUACAUCGGAAUCUACUUUUUCGUGGGGGAUAACGUAGGGAAACUUACGCUAAUACCGCAUACGACCUACGGGUGAAAGCAGGGGAUCUUCGGACCUUGCGCGAUUGAAUGAGCCGAUGUCGGAUUAGCUAGUUGGCGGGGUAAAGGCCCACCAAGGCGACGAUCCGUAGCUGGUCUGAGAGGAUGAGGAGCCGCAGUGGAGCUGAGACAGGGUGCAGGCGGCUGCGGGAGGCAGCAGUGGGGAAUAUUGGACAAUGGGCGCAAGCCUGAUCCAGCCAUACCGCGUGGGUGAAGAAGGCCUUCGGGUUGUAAAGCCCUUUUGUUGGGAAAGAAAAGCAGCAGGUUAAUACCCCGCUGUUCUGACGGUACCCAAAGAAUAAGCACCGGCUAACUUCGUG
This 492-nucleotide ribosomal RNA is filed under the name uncultured bacterium. Its description in RNAcentral is "partial 16S ribosomal RNA". It matches the Rfam family "Bacterial small subunit ribosomal RNA", at positions 29 to 507 of the family's 1533-position model. The record is from RNAcentral.